UGGCUUUUCAGCCGAAGUCUGCGAGAUAAGUCCACAUAACAGCGACUUUUUAUAAUUUUUUGGACGAAUGGUGGUAAAUUGCUUUGUAAAUGGUUAGUUUAUUUUGAAAAAUUGCUUUUCACAUUGUUUUAAUUGUCUGCAUUGGUUAACGAAAAUUAGAUGCCACCCAAAAAUGGCGGAUAUUCGUCAUCGUGAGAAAGGCUAAU
Paramuricea clavata is the source of this 206-nucleotide non-coding RNA. Lineage: Eukaryota; Metazoa; Cnidaria; Anthozoa; Malacalcyonacea; Plexauridae. The record is from the annotation of a GenBank genome assembly.